Non-coding RNA from Prunus avium (sweet cherry), 710 nucleotides. Lineage: Eukaryota; Viridiplantae; Streptophyta; Magnoliopsida; Rosales; Rosaceae. The record is from RefSeq and is a predicted model, not a curated record.
AUUAUUAUAUCCGUUAGACACAGAGACGCAGCAGAGCAGAGUCAAAAGAGAGCAGAGAAUGACGCAAGAGCUUCCCGCGUUGUGUCUGAACAGUCCGAGCUCACCAUACAAGCUCCAGCCAAUGCCAUCAAUGGCAUCGCCACCAAUUCUCUGCGACCCAGUGCUGCGUUGGAGCACUGCUAUUGGCCCUUUCACCCUUAUAUAUUUAUAACCUCAGCCUCAGCUGGUAAGGCAACAAAACCCUAAAUGCUAAAGCUCAUUUGGUCAUUUAGGGUUCAUGGCUGGGUUAACUCCACCUCCCAGAAAGUUUAUAAAAGUUUUUGGCUCCUGGGCUCCAUGAAAAACUUUUCUGCAUUUGAACCAGUUUUGACAGUUGUUACAAGGAGCUCAUCCUAGUUUAAGUUGGACUCAGUGAUCACUGGUAUUUUAGUUCUAUUCAUUGUCCCGUUGUAUUCAUUUGAUACUCAAGUGGGAGAAUGUCAAAACCUAUUAAGCAAACUCGUAAAUAUAUGUGAAUCGUACUUCUCCGUCUCCAGACUCUGCAGUUUCCGGUAUCACUUCCAUGAAUUUUGUUUUUCUGACAUGUUUGAAUCAGUAAUGAUAUUGUUCAUGCAUUGUUGUUCUAAAUUUCAGAAUUCAGAUUAUAAAUAUUGAGCUCUUGUUUUCAGCGUCUAUGAUUUAUUUGGUGGUGUUGUUUUGUUAUGAGGUGU